RNAcentral lists this ribosomal RNA (651 nucleotides) under uncultured Amycolatopsis sp. RNAcentral's name for it is "bacterial SSU rRNA". It matches the Rfam family "Bacterial small subunit ribosomal RNA", at positions 95 to 760 of the family's 1533-position model. Lineage: Bacteria; Bacillati; Actinomycetota; Actinomycetes; Pseudonocardiales; Pseudonocardiaceae. The record is from RNAcentral.
GUGGUGAACGGGUGAGUAACACGUGGGUAAUCUGCCCUGUACUCUGGGAUAAGCCUGGGAAACUGGGUCUAAUACCGGAUAUGACCUUUCACCGCAUGGUGGGGGGUGGAAAGCUCCGGCGGUAUGGGAUGAACCCGCGGCCUAUCAGCUUGUUGGUGGGGUAAUGGCCUACCAAGGCGACGACGGGUAGCCGGCCUGAGAGGGUGACCGGCCACACUGGGACUGAGACACGGCCCAGACUCCUACGGGAGGCAGCAGUGGGGAAUAUUGGACAAUGGGCGCAAGCCUGAUCCAGCCAUGCCGCGUGAGUGAUGAAGGCCCUAGGGUUGUAAACCUCUUUCGCCAGGGACGAAGCGCGAGUGACGGUACCUGGAUAAGAAGCACCGGCUAACUACGUGCCAGCAGCCGCGGUAAUACGUAGGGUGCGAGCGUUGUCCGGAAUUAUUGGGCGUAAAGAGCUCGUAGGCGGUUUGUCGCGUCGGCUGUGAAAUCUGGAGGCUUAACCUUCAGCGUGCAGUCGAUACGGGCAGACUUGAGUUCGGUAGGGGAGACUGGAAUUCCUGGUGUAGCGGUGAAAUGCGCAGAUAUCAGGAGGAACACCGGUGGCGAAGGCGGGUCUCUGGGCCGAUACUGACGCUGAGGAGCGAGAGC